RNAcentral lists this long non-coding RNA (567 nucleotides) under Physcomitrium patens. RNAcentral describes it as "long non-coding RNA (PPAT_LNC005111)". The record is from RNAcentral. Lineage: Eukaryota; Viridiplantae; Streptophyta; Bryopsida; Funariales; Funariaceae.
GCUAGUGUAGUUUAGAUUGUGCUAUCUCAAAUACUCCAUCAUUAUGAAGCCUUGCCACCACUCCUUCAAUCUCUGCAAUUCUUUGUGAUAAUGUAGCGAGGGCAUUCAUAAUAGCAUCUAACUUAGACUCCGAACUUUCUGUCAUACUAAUGUCUUGACCUCCGGCCAUUCUAAAAGAAGGACAAAAAUGACCCUAUAAGAGGCAAUAUUGGUUUAUAGGAGGGUAAUCCACAACCUAUAAAAUGCCUUAAGAAUUUCAAGAAGAGGGAUAAUCCACUCUCUCCAAGAAGAAUAAGACUCUAAUAUUGUAACAGAAGAAGUAUCAGUUUAGAGGAGGGUAAUCCGCAACCUCAAAAAAAUGCUAGUAUACCUUCAAGUAGAGGAGUAAUCCACACUCUACUAAGAAAGAACUAGCUCUGAUAUCUCAAGUUAGUGUAGUCUCCACAAACUGUCACGGACACAAAAUACAGACUUGAAAUCUAACAAGAAGUUCAAGAAGAAGUGGCAGAACUAGAUUAAACAGAUGAGUACAAGAACAACACCAGAAAGGUGAGCUAGAACUCCAAG